RNAcentral lists this ribosomal RNA (589 nucleotides) under uncultured marine eukaryote. Its description in RNAcentral is "SSU rRNA". It matches the Rfam family "Eukaryotic small subunit ribosomal RNA", at positions 613 to 1206 of the family's 1831-position model. The record is from RNAcentral.
UUGCGGUUAAAAAGCUCGUAGUUGGAUUUCUGCUGAGUACGACCGGUCCGCCCUCUGGGUGAGUAUCUGGCUCGGCCUUGGCAUCUUCUUGGGGAACGUAACUGCACUUGACUGUGUGGUGCGGUAUCCAGGACUUUUACUUUGAGGAAAUUAGAGUGUUUCAAGCAGGCGCACGCCUUGAAUACAUUAGCAUGGAAUAAUAAGAUAGGACCUUGGUUCUAUUUUGUUGGUUUCUAGAGCUGAGGUAAUGAUUAAUAGGGAUAGUUGGGGGCAUUCGUAUUUAACUGUCAGAGGUGAAAUUCUCGGAUUUGUUAAAGACGGACUACUGCGAAAGCAUUUGCCAAGGAUGUUUUCAUUGAUCAAGAACGAAAGUUAGGGGAUCGAAGACGAUCAGAUACCGUCCUAGUCUUAACCAUAAACCAUGCCGACUAGAGAUUGGAGGUCGUUAACUAUACGACUCCUUCAGCACCUUAUGAGAAAUCAAAGUCUUUGGGUUCCGGGGGGAGUAUGGUCGCAAGGCUGAAACUUAAAGGAAUUGACGGAAGGGCACCACCAGGAGUGGAGCCUGCGGCUUAAUUUGACUCAACAC